Molecule: long non-coding RNA, 617 nt
Filed under: Brassica napus (rape)
Lineage: Eukaryota; Viridiplantae; Streptophyta; Magnoliopsida; Brassicales; Brassicaceae
Description: long non-coding RNA (BNAP_LNC020544)
Source: RNAcentral
UCAUAUGGAAAACGCAAUAACAUGAAAUGAAUUCGAGUAUUGACUAUGUGUAACGAACCGUCCAUAGAGAACGGUUAGGUGGCCAUUCGAAGACGAUUGUCUUCUUCUCGCAAUUGUCCAAUUUUGCUGUGGGUCCAGGACUUGAGUCUCACGGUACUUCUGUAUCCUUUCUCUUCUCUCUAGUUGAGAAGUUCUUCAAGUCUACUUGUAGCGUAUUGGAUUAUCUUCUCCAAUUCGUUGUUAUAAUCUCCGGUAUGGCUGUUUUGGCCAUAAUCGACGACAAGACAACCGAUCUACUUGGGUUGAACACAGACUCAAGUGUUUUCGGUGGUUAUAUGAAUUUCGAGUGCUUAAACACAAAUUUUAAUGCGGAAGAGGAGUUCAAAAAAAAAAGAAAAAAGAAGAAGUUUGUUUUCGAUCAAGUAUAUUUGGUGCCGAAAUAUAUCGCUGGAAUCAUGGAAUGCAUCAAGGAAAAAGCAGCAAUACGAAGCGGAAGAAAUUAUGGCUAUAUUCGUACAAUUGCUGAGAAUUGGUCUUUCUAAUUUUUAUUUCUUAUGAUUGAAUCAAUAUAUAUAUAUAUAUAUAUCUAAAUUGGAAUAAGACCAAAGUAAUACAAC